ACAUGGACUUAAUGCUCAGGAGCUUGCCAAGAACCCUAGGCUGGAUUACUUCUUUGUCAAGGAUCUAAACCAGGAUCAAAAACUUGAGAUGGCAGAUGGAAGUUUCGACGCCGUGCUAUGCACUGUUAGUGUACAGUACCUUCAGCAACCUGAGAAGGUGAGCUGAUGUUAUUUUGUUUAUCAGAACAUGAAGUUUAUAUAGGAAUCAAUGAAAGGGGUCUGAAGUCUGAACUGACCAAGUUCAUGAUUACUCGUUCUAGGUAUUUGCAGAAGUUUUUCGGGUGCUUAGGCCAGGAGGGGUAUUCAUUGUAAGCUUUAGCAAUAGACUAUUUUAUGAGAAAGCCAUCAGUGCCUGGAGAGAUGGAACUGCAUA
This 373-nucleotide long non-coding RNA is filed under the name Theobroma cacao (cacao). Its description in RNAcentral is "long non-coding RNA (TCAC_LNC002248)". Lineage: Eukaryota; Viridiplantae; Streptophyta; Magnoliopsida; Malvales; Malvaceae. The record is from RNAcentral.